RNAcentral lists this ribosomal RNA (497 nucleotides) under uncultured bacterium. Its description in RNAcentral is "partial 16S ribosomal RNA". It matches the Rfam family "Bacterial small subunit ribosomal RNA", at positions 28 to 507 of the family's 1533-position model. The record is from RNAcentral.
GAUGAACGCUGGCGGCGUGCCUAAUACAUGCAAGUCGAGCGAACAGACGAGGAGCUUGCUCCUCUGACGUUAGCGGCGGACGGGUGAGUAACACGUGGAUAACCUACCUAUAAGACUGGGAUAACUUCGGGAAACCGGAGCUAAUACCGGAUAAUAUAUUGAACCGCAUGCUUCAAUAGUGAAAGACGGUUUUGCUGUCACUUAUAGAUGGAUCCGCGCCGCAUUAGCUAGUUGGUAAGGUAACGGCUUACCAAGGCGACGAUGCGUAGCCGACCUGAGAGGGUGAUCGGCCACACUGGAACUGAGACACGGUCCAGACUCCUACGGGAGGCAGCAGUAGGGAAUCUUCCGCAAUGGGCGAAAGCCUGACGGAGCAACGCCGCGUGAGUGAUGAAGGUCUUCGGAUCGUAAAACUCUGUUAUUAGGGAAGAACAAAUGUGUAAGUAACUAUGCACGUCUUGACGGUACCUAAUCAGAAAGCCACGGCUAACUACGUG